Physella acuta is the source of this 726-nucleotide long non-coding RNA. RefSeq lists it as uncharacterized. The record is from RefSeq and is a predicted model, not a curated record. Lineage: Eukaryota; Metazoa; Mollusca; Gastropoda; Physidae.
UUACGAUUUAGUCUAAAAAGCGUGGCGUCACUGAAGAAGACUUCAAAUAACGUGGACAUGACCGAUGGCGAGAGAAAUUAAAAAACAAAUUGGUUUUCUGUUGCCAAAAGUAAAAUUCGGUGCGCGGACCUUUGACCACAGGUGCUUUGACCAUAGGGGGUUUGACCAUAGGGGGUUUGACCACAGCGGAGCUUUGACCAUAGGGGCUUUGACCAUAGGGGGUUUGACCACAGCGGGCCUUUGACCAUAGCGGUGCUUUGACCAUAGGUGGUUUGAUCAUAGGGGGUUUGACCAUAGGGGGUUUGACCACAGGUGUUUUCUCAGCAGAGGGUCUUUGAUCACAGGUGGUCUAUCAACUGGUGUUUGAUCACAAGCGCUGUGUCCGGCUUUGAUCAUAGGUGUUUUGUCCACAUAGGGUCUUUGAUCUCAGGUGGUUUGUCCAAUGCUGUCCAUAUAUGUUACAGUGUGUGGUGGUGGGCAGAUCGGGCUGUGUGUGGAGAGAUGUGAGUACAGCCCCACACUCUCAGCUAUGGGUGGGGGCGACGGCUGUCUACGAGUGCAAGUCUAAUGGGUGUGGUCAUACUUGUCAGCCCAAAGGAAAAGGCCCUAUAACUUCUUGAUCUGAGAUGCCAACAGUUUCUCUGAUCGACAACUUUUGACCAAACACCUGUCAUAAGCUGUCAGAAAUCAUAGACAAAAGAUGAUUAAACACACUCUGUAAAAUCG